AGUAGUAAUAAUCAUUGUUACAGACAUCCAGACAGACAAGCAGAGAUGUGCAGACAUGCCUCCAGCCACCCAGACAGGCAGAGGGGGAGAAAAAAACCCGACCCAGGGACACAUACAGGUAGGCCAGACGGGCCUCGUGCCCCCGGUACACCGAGCCCCCCGGGGCUCCCCGGCCGCUUUGGUGACUCUAGAUAACCUCGAGACGAUCGCUUGCCCUCGUGGCGGCGACGACUCAUUCGAAUGUCUGCCCUAUCAACUUUUCUAUGGUACUUUCUGUGCCUACCAUGGUGACCAUGGGUAACGGGGAAUCAGGGUUCGAUUCCG
This 324-nucleotide non-coding RNA is filed under the name Larimichthys crocea (large yellow croaker). Its description in RNAcentral is "Eukaryotic small subunit ribosomal RNA". It matches the Rfam family "Eukaryotic small subunit ribosomal RNA", at positions 105 to 385 of the family's 1831-position model. The record is from Rfam by way of RNAcentral. Lineage: Eukaryota; Metazoa; Chordata; Actinopteri; Sciaenidae.